AUGUGUUUCGUUUCUUCGAAUGGUGGGCUUGUACCGAGGUCAGCAUUCGUGCUUGUUCGUGUUUCUCUCUUCUUCUUCUUCUUUUUCGAUGGUAAAAGAGUUUUAUUCCAUAUUCAUAGGGUUACAAUCAAAUGGCAAAACCUCCUCAAUACAAGGAGGGCCCUGCCCAAGCCAUACAGCUGUAGUACUCUCUGUACGACUAUACAUAGGCAAACGAUCUGCUACCCUAUUCUGUUCUCGCUUAUGUUUCGAAGGAAUAAACUCUCUUUCACCCAUAAGAUGACGAAUCUCAGCAACUAA
RNAcentral lists this ribosomal RNA (300 nucleotides) under Triticum aestivum (bread wheat). RNAcentral describes it as "partial small subunit ribosomal RNA". The record is from RNAcentral. Lineage: Eukaryota; Viridiplantae; Streptophyta; Magnoliopsida; Poales; Poaceae.